Molecule: long non-coding RNA, 2397 nt
Organism: Esox lucius (northern pike)
Lineage: Eukaryota; Metazoa; Chordata; Actinopteri; Esociformes; Esocidae
Source: Ensembl
GUUUAUCAAUUGUACUAUACUAUCUGACAAUAGAGUCAACAAGGAACCUUUGGUCUCAACAAAGAAAACACUUUUAAUGUCCCUCUUCAAUGUACAACACUCUUGUGUUCCCAUGAAAUGGAUACAUACAUUUUAAAUUACCCUUGUAACAUCCAGAUGAGAUGAAUGCUCUCUAAUAUAUGAAGUGCAGCAUUUGCAAAAUAAAAACCAAUUUCCAAGGUUGUCACAGAGCACGGGAACCAAACACAUUGUCACAUCACAUCAAGCUCACCGCGCCUCAGUACAACCUGCGAAAAAAACUCAGACUUUUUUUUAUUAAGAUGGGAGUCCCAAACAUUGAGUUUGUAAAUAAAAGUUAUUUAUCUUGAUGUCAUCUAGAAAUCGGCACUUGCCCUUCAGCUAAUCGCCAGGACAGUGGAGGACAUCCAAUCAAUCAAGGAGGGUCUAUUAUGCUGUGCAAACUUUUCAAACAUUCCCACAAGAAAUGGAGGGAAAUGGGUCUGGCAAUCUUUUUUCCAAUGAUUUAUGAUGUUUUGAGAGUCCAAUAAUUGCAUCAGUGUUGUGGAAUUGGUCAAAUAAAAUGAGGUCUUGUGCUUGGGUUCUUUUUUUUCCCUGUACCUGUGUAGGUCAUGUAGUACAGUCAUCAAUUACAAUUUGGAUACAAUGUUUGGGGAAUCAGUGUUAGAAAAGAAAAUAUCAAGGAAUAGAUUAUUGAUAACACAGCAGUAAAAAAGUAAUAUGAUGAUUUUAAACAACAAUUGAAGGCACUAGUCUGGCAAUGUCAGUAAUAUGGAGCAUAUCACAUACUAGAAACAUGUUAACAUUCCAUAUCACUUCCACUUGUAUAUCAGUUGGAAAUCUAACUGUUGAUUUAAUUGGCUUGCCUAUAUAGUAAAAUUAUUUCAGAGAAUCUCAUUGCCAUUUUGUUUGUUCCUUUCCGUUUGUUUCCUGCCUCUGCCUGCCUACAGCUUUGUAGGACAGUAACUGACGGUCAGUGUGGUUGCCAGCACACAGCACCUAUCACACCACCCAGAAUUUCUUCAGUCAAACUUUAUAUUAUUUUAUGUCAAUCAGCGGUGAGCUUUUCUGCCAUUUCUUUUUUCCAAUUGCGCCACGCUUCUUGUGACAUUUGCUGCACUUCAUUGUUAGCUGAGGUCGUCCUUGAGCUUUUUAUGGCUCCCAUGUUCAAGGCUGGACAGGUCUUUGUGCUCCAUCCAUUUUCCAUUGGUGAGAGGAUGCCUGACAUGUAUAUCCCUGUGGAAAUAAAGGGCCUUCUGCAAUGCCAGCACUGUCACUUAACAGUGGCCUGUUUGUCUGGUGUGCAAAUCUUGGGAAUGCUGCCAACGUCCUUAGGCCUCAGAGAGCGAUGACCUCACUAUUAUGCUUUAUUACUCUGGUUAGGCUAUUUGAUAUGUAGGGGGAACAUCUUUCUUUCCACAGGGACACCGACCUUAGCUUUUCAACUGGUAAUACAAGAGAAAGAUGUACGAGAGAAAGGCUGCCUUCAUUUAAUGCUGUUUUUUAAGCUAUCAUCAAAUUCAAACAAGUAUACAUUUUAGAAAACUUUAGCAUGGAAUAAAGGGGUAGUAACAUGAUUAAACAAUUUGUUGGCAUUGUUAAAAUUCUAGCACUACCUAGUUCUAACAUGUGUCCAUUGUCUUGAUAUUGUCCACAUUCUGAUUGUGACAAUGUUUUUAGACAGGUGUAGAUGAUAAACAAAUGCAAUGGGCUCAGACCAGGAUCAAAUCAAAAGUGUAAACAGACAAGAUCAGGACAAGGCAUGCAUGUUCGUACAAAGUAUAAACAGGGCAACGGAUUUUACUGUAGUUAUAGCUUAUCCCAUAUUUGUUACCACAUACUACUUAAUAUUGUGCUGUAGACUACACUGCUUGUAGGGGUAGAAGCAUUCCAAUAGCCAUUAAUUAGCAACAAACUUUCUGUAAAUCAAAAAUGUUUUAAAUGUACUAUUAUGGACAAAAUUAUCCCUAGCAGUUUUACAGUCAAAAACGGUUAACGUCGUUGGAAAAAUUACCUGAUAUUUCCUAAAUGCCUUCAAUGUCUGUAUGUUUAUAGAAUGAAACGUGGUUUUUCCCCAAGAAGCUCCCAGUUUUCCAGAACCAAAGUGCCGAAUGUAAAUAUUCUUUGGGUUGGCUCCAUCCACUUUUCUCACACGCUACUUCACACAGCUUAAUCAAGAAUAUGAAACAUCAACCCAGUAUCCAGCUCACGGAACUCCACUCAAUGAUAUCACGUUUUCUGUGUUUGUAUCUGUACAUAUGAUGCGCUACAUACUGUACACCAACAUACUGAUAUGCCUACUGGUUGACUCUGUAACGUACCGUUGAAUUUUUGAUUCUUAUUGUUUGAUCAAAAAUAUGUUUCUCUCAAUGUUUUAAA